GUCUCUGCCAUGCGGAUUCGGAGGUACUAGGGUAUCAGCUGCCUGCUCCAUGCGUAACGGCCUCUGAUUCUCCUCGUGCGUACGUUCGAGCGGAUCUGCCAGGCUGUUUGGUGAAUAUUUCUCUGGAUCCUGGGCUGGGCCGAGAGUUGGGCCAGACGCUAAGCCUGAAUGGAGAGGGCCAGCUUCGUGUGGGCCAGGCCGGCUUGAGUAAAGAAGAUGGGUCGAGCCCGGCCUUGAGGGUCGGAUGAGCCAGGCUCGUUCUGUAUAUCAGGUGUGUGGGCCUCUACGUCAUGGGCCUUGGGCCGUGGUCAAGCCUCUAGUCCGGG
This 326-nucleotide long non-coding RNA is filed under the name Manihot esculenta (cassava). RNAcentral's name for it is "long non-coding RNA (MESC_LNC000416)". The record is from RNAcentral. Lineage: Eukaryota; Viridiplantae; Streptophyta; Magnoliopsida; Malpighiales; Euphorbiaceae.